GGGGAUGUGACUCAGUGGUAGAGUGCUUGCCAAGCAUGCACGAGGCACUAGGUUUGAUCCUCAGCACCACA
RNAcentral lists this transfer RNA (71 nucleotides) under Marmota monax (woodchuck). Its description in RNAcentral is "tRNA.Ala". The record is from RNAcentral. Lineage: Eukaryota; Metazoa; Chordata; Mammalia; Rodentia; Sciuridae.